Molecule: long non-coding RNA, 313 nt
Organism: Lacerta agilis (Sand lizard)
Lineage: Eukaryota; Metazoa; Chordata; Lepidosauria; Squamata; Lacertidae
Exons: 3
Source: RefSeq, a predicted model, not a curated record
GGAGGCCAGAGUGAGCCACUUGCUUUGGUCCUCCAGGAAGAGGAAGGAGGCCUGGCGACGGUCCCUUGGCCGGGAGGCAGAUGCUGCACAGGGCAGGACCAAAGAGAAACUGGUGACGUUGGAUGUGGUGGGUGUGCACAUCCCCAAAGAGGAGUGAGCUCUCCUGGAUCCAGGCCAAAGAACUCUCUAUAAGGAAGUUGUGAUGGAGGAUUUUGGUAAUGAGGUCUCUGCAGGUGAUUGGCAGGAGAGCGAAAGUGAGAAGGAACCCUCUGUCGAAGCAAUGAAGCAAGAGGCAGGACAGGAGACAUUUAAG